CUCAAUCCUUUAGAAAGGCCCCAAAACCAAGCCAUUCGGCCGAUCCUAGCCUUAUUCCCUCUUUACCAGCAAACCCUAGCCCCCUUUUAACCUCAUCACUGAUCCACCACCACGAACGGCGGCCAGUGGUUCUGGGGCUCCGUCGAAACGAUUUUUAGCCUGGAGAUCCCUUUUGGGCUUUGAUUUCAACGAAGCAAAAGAAGACCGACGGCCUAUUCGUAAGGUAAGAUCGCACCUUUCUUUUCCUUUUGUUUUUAAAAUGCCAAUAUUGAAACAAAAUCGAUAGAAUAUCAGUAAAAAAAAACUCACAGAGAAUGAAAGAGAUUAAAAAAAACCAGAAAUCACCUCUUCAAAAACUGUUUUCGAAUCUUUUCUAUUCAAUAUGUGUAUAUUGUGCCAGCGUAAAAAAAAAUAGAGAGCCUUUACAAUCAAAAAUCAAAGGGCUUUAUAGACAGAUAAUCAAAAGAAAAAAAUACAAAAAAUUUUCUAUUGGCUGCUGCUCUUGCUGCUGUUUUUGUUUUCUUUUGUAGGUACAGGGUGCGUGGCGCGUGUACGGGUACUUGGCGUGAGGCGUACGGAGGCGCGCGUGGUGGUCGUACGGUGCUGAAGGCUGGGGCCUGGCUGCGGCGCAAGGGAGAGAACCCUAGGGUUCUAGUGCUUUAAUUUUCUAGGCCUAUCGGGCUUGUAUUUUGGGUCUAGAUUUUAGGUUUUGAAUUUGGGUUUUGAUUGGUUAUUGGGCUAUGGACCAUUGUAAUGAUUUUGGACUUUGGACUAUUAAUUUGGUUUUAUUUUUAUGGAUUUUAUAUUUAUUUAUUUUUGUGUUUGUAAUGGGCUGGGCAAAUUUGGCCCACUACACAUGAAGUUUUUUCUAUGAAUCCACAUGUUUGAAUCUACUUUAUCCACAC
Molecule: long non-coding RNA, 905 nt
Filed under: Gossypium barbadense (sea-island cotton)
Lineage: Eukaryota; Viridiplantae; Streptophyta; Magnoliopsida; Malvales; Malvaceae
Description: long non-coding RNA (GBAR_LNC004807)
Source: RNAcentral